RNAcentral lists this ribosomal RNA (427 nucleotides) under uncultured bacterium. RNAcentral's name for it is "partial 16S ribosomal RNA". It matches the Rfam family "Bacterial small subunit ribosomal RNA", at positions 355 to 774 of the family's 1533-position model. The record is from RNAcentral.
UGGGGAAUAUUGGACAAUGGGCGAAAGCCUGAUCCAGCCAUGCCGCGUGUGUGAAGAAGGUCUUCGGAUUGUAAAGCACUUUAAGUUGGGAGGAAGGGCAUUAACCUAAUACGUUAGUGUUUUGACGUUACCGACAGAAUAAGCACCGGCUAACUCUGUGCCAGCAGCCGCGGGAAUACAGAGGGUGCAAGCGUUAAUCGGAAUUAGUGGGCGUAAAGCGCGCGUAGGUGGUUUGUUAAGUUGGAUGUGAAAUCCCCGGGCUCAACCUGGGAACUGCAUUCAAAACUGACUGACUAGAGUAUGGUAGAGGGUGGUGGAAUUUCCUGUGUAGCGGUGAAAUGCGUAGAUAUAGGAAGGAACACCAGUGGCGAAGGCGACCACCUGGACUAAUACUGACACUGAGGUGCGAAAGCGUGGGGAGCAAACA